CCUACGGGAGGCUGCAGUGAGGAAUAUUGGUCAAUGGGCGCGAGCCUGCACCAGCCAAGUAGCGUGCAGGAUGACUGCCCUACGGGUUGUAAACUUCUUUUAUAAGGGAGUAAAGUUAGGCACGUGUGCGUUUUUGUAUGUACUUUAUGAAUAAGGAUCGGCUAAGUCCGUGACAGCAGCCGCGGUAAUACGGUGGAUCCGAGAUUUGUCCGGUUUUAUUGGGUUUAAAGGGAGCGUAGAUGGGUUGUUAAGUCAGUUGUGAAAGUUUGCGGCUCAACCGUAAAAUUGCAAUUGAUACUGGCAGACUUGAGUACAGUUGAGGUAGGCGGAAUUCGUGGUGUAGCGGUGAAAUGCUUAGAUAUCACGAAGAACUCCGAUUGCGAAGGCAGCUUACUAAACUGCCACUGACAUUGAUGCUCGAAAGUGUGGGUAUCAAACAGGAUUAGAUACCCUUGUAGUC
RNAcentral lists this ribosomal RNA (460 nucleotides) under uncultured bacterium. Its description in RNAcentral is "partial 16S ribosomal RNA". It matches the Rfam family "Bacterial small subunit ribosomal RNA", at positions 338 to 795 of the family's 1533-position model. The record is from RNAcentral.